AAAUUUUAAAUAUAAAUUUUUAGGAAUUAAAAAUAUUUACAAUAAAAAUAAAAAUAAAAAUAAAUUAACUAAAAUUAUUCAAAUAUAGUGACGUAAUGAUGGAUUAGAUAAUGGCAUGAGUCUAAAAAGAGGAAGAUCAUAGGAGCCAGGGCAAUACAAGCAAGUUAAGUUCUUCCACAUAGAGGGCCAAAAAAGUAAAUUGCAAUCUAAACAUAAGAAGAACUAAAGUAAUUUAAACAUUAAUAAAUAAAAAAAGACUAAUCCAUAAAAAAAAGGGGAGAAAAUCUUCCAAUUCCGACCACCAAAUCUCCUCUACAGUGGAAAACAGCAGACUUUAUGCGAAAAAAGUCUCUCACGCGACUCCCUUAACAAAUUUUUUUAUAUUAAAACCACGCCGUCUUAGCUUUGACGCUGCAUUUUUGGUUUCGGCCUCACAACCCAAACCGCCCGAUCAACAUCCCUUAACGUUAGCAACUUUCAAAAAGUCAAUCGGUUUGCUGAGGUGGCGAAAUCAGAGAGGUGCAUGGUGCCUAGAGAUUAAGAAAAUAUAAUAGAGAAAAAAAAACAGAGCGUGAAAAGAGGGUAGACAGUCACGAAAUCUCAUCACCGUCGGGAUCUUAUAGAGCGCAUGCAUUCGUGCACGCUUCGGCUCGUGUUUCUAUAUAGGAGAGAGAGAGAGAGAGAGAGAGAGUAGUUUUCUUUUAAUUCUUUUUUAAUAUUUUGGGUCAAAGGAUAGUUAAAUGGCCUACAAAUACCAUGCACGCGAGACUAAGGUGACAGCAGGAUGUACGGUGACCGAGCCGAGUUUUUAAGAGAUGAACAGCGUGGAUGGUCGACACGUCUUGAUUUCAAGGGCUAAACCAGUUUUGGGGCUCUGCGGGGCCCAAUGCCACAGCGGCUAUUGCGGACGCGUAGCCGCCAUCGACGUGCUUUCUUCUGGCUUUUAUCUCUUUUUUAUUUUCUUUCUUAUGAGGUUGGUACUUUGUUUUUGUUUUAAUUGCUAUUCCUCCC
This 1011-nucleotide long non-coding RNA is filed under the name Ricinus communis (castor bean). RNAcentral describes it as "long non-coding RNA (RCOM_LNC000381)". The record is from RNAcentral. Lineage: Eukaryota; Viridiplantae; Streptophyta; Magnoliopsida; Malpighiales; Euphorbiaceae.